RNAcentral lists this transfer RNA (65 nucleotides) under Calanus glacialis. Its description in RNAcentral is "tRNA-Leu". The record is from RNAcentral. Lineage: Eukaryota; Metazoa; Arthropoda; Copepoda; Calanoida; Calanidae.
UAAUUAAAAAGUGAAUUUGCACCCUUAGCCUAAACCUGAGCCCAUGCUUAAAGUAUUUAAACUAU